Molecule: non-coding RNA, 90 nt
Organism: Mycena crocata
Lineage: Eukaryota; Fungi; Basidiomycota; Agaricomycetes; Agaricales; Mycenaceae
Source: the annotation of a GenBank genome assembly
GGCUCGGUGGCAGAUGGUCUGCAUGUGCUGUUCAUAGUUGCUCUUGUCGUGGAUUUGCGCACCUCGCCUGUUCGAUUCAGGCCCGAGUCA